GUUUUGAUGGAAUAUCAGUGCUUAAAUGGUUCAUUUGAAGAGGAUUUGUGAUUAUUGGAUUUAGCGUGUUUGAAAAUAAAAGGGGCUUGAAAAGUGAUUUUAAUUGCACAAAUUAUUCUUGGAUGUUCUAAUAUUUGUUUGCCCAGUUGAAAUUAGAGUUUUAUUGGUCCAAAUUACAAUUUAAGGCCUAAAAUCAUAUUUUAUUUGGAAAAUCAUGUACAGAUGGGCCAAACAGGAAACCUUUACCCUUACACCUCCUAAAAUCCCUACAUACACUCCUAUUUCUGAAAUAUGCCAACAACCAAGCCCAAACACUAAGCCUUUUCUCUCCUAUAACCCCUAAUUUCCUAUACACACCCCUCCUACCACUAAUUAAGCCAGAUAUCAUUAGAUUUUGCCAUGUGGCAAUCCACCACUAAUAGAUCCAACCACUCAGAACAUGCCACCUAACCCCUCAUGCCACGUCAUCACCAUCUUCUCUAACAGAGAAACCCUAAUCCAACCAAACCCUAGUCGCCGGCCACCACCAUCUUCCCUACGCCGCAUCACCGCAACCACCAUGGCGCGCCGACCAACCACCGUGCCGUUGUGAAGCCGCCUGGAAGACGCUGUCGUUGUCGCGCCGCAAGCCUCCGUCACCACCACAUUCUCGCGCCUUCUCCAUCAACGCCAAAUAUGUCGUCGUGUAACCUCCAUGGACAUCAUCAUCUUUCUCGCUUCAACCAUCAUCGCGUAUCAUCUCCUCAUUACGCAGCCGCCAUCGUGAGUUUUUCAGGCCACCAGUCUUCACCGCCACCAACGUCCUACAGGAAAAACCAAAAAACCCAAAGUCGCGGCUUGAAAUUUCCUCCAUCGCAGCACCUUCGUCUUUGAGGAAAUCCAGAAUCUCAUCGCUUGCCUCCAUUCAGACCUGUAAACCCAGCGCCAUCAUCCAUUCGCGUGAGGCAGAA
RNAcentral lists this long non-coding RNA (950 nucleotides) under Vigna radiata. Its description in RNAcentral is "long non-coding RNA (VRAD_LNC012100)". The record is from RNAcentral. Lineage: Eukaryota; Viridiplantae; Streptophyta; Magnoliopsida; Fabales; Fabaceae.